GCCAGCGUAGCUCAAUUGGUAGAGCACCCGCCUUGUAAGCGGGGGGUUGCGGGUUCGAGUCCCAUCGCUGGCUCCA
This 76-nucleotide transfer RNA is filed under the name Bacillota bacterium. RNAcentral's name for it is "Firmicutes bacterium (anaerobic digester metagenome) tRNA-Thr". It matches the Rfam family "tRNA". Rfam says of the family: Transfer RNA (tRNA) molecules are approximately 80 nucleotides in length. Their secondary structure includes four short double-helical elements and three loops (D, anti-codon, and T loops). Lineage: Bacteria; Bacillati; Bacillota. The record is from RNAcentral.